GACGUUCAGGUGGCGGUCGACCUCCCGUCGGCCGUCGAAAUUCACACCCGUGUGCACCUUGGGAGCCCCCUGGCUCUUGCAAAAAAUGCCUGUCAAUGAAGCAUGUUCGAGUGCUCUACGGAGAGCCGUAUACAUAUACAACUUUCAACAACGGAUCUCUUGGCUUUCGCAUCGAUGAAGAACGCAGCGAAAGUGCGAAACGUAAUGUGAAUUGCAGAAUUCAGUGAAUCAUCGAAUCUUUGAACGCAUCUUGCGCUCUUCGGUAUUCCGAGGAGCAUGCCUGUUUGAGUGUCGUGACAAUCCCUCGACUCUCCCCUCGCCCGUUCCCUCUUCUGGGGGGCUCGCGUUCGGAGGGUCGGAUUUUGGACGUUGCCGUCCUUUGUGAAGGCUCGUCUCGAAAUGCAUUAGCCUCGUUCCGGCCUCGGUUUCCUUCCACAGACGAUAUGGCGUGAUAAUGAAAAAACUCGCUGGCGUCGGUCGGGCCUUGGAUAGAGGGGGGCUCACAGUCGUCUCCGGACAAAUUCCAUCGAUCUGACCUCAAAUCAGGUAGGACUACCCGCUGAACUUAAGCAUAUCAAUAAGCGGAGGAAAGGAAACUAACAAGGAUUCCCCUAGUAACGGCGAGUGAAGCGGGAAGAGCUCAAAUUUGUAAUCUGGCGGUCUCU
This 665-nucleotide ribosomal RNA is filed under the name Hysterangium sp. SOC1410. Its description in RNAcentral is "eukaryotic LSU rRNA". The stretch from base 140 to 294 matches the Rfam family "5.8S ribosomal RNA". The record is from RNAcentral. Lineage: Eukaryota; Fungi; Basidiomycota; Agaricomycetes; Hysterangiales; Hysterangiaceae.